UUCUGCAGGCUGAUGUGGUUGGCAGGGCUACCUGCACCCAAGGCCGCCGCCGCCUCACAGGAAACACCUUUCGAUCUGGACAAGUAGUCACCGGAGGCCUGAGUUCUGCCUCGCAGAGCCUGCAGGAAACAGCUGGGAGAAUGCGAGGGCAAGCACUAAGCAUGCUCUCUCUCAAGCUCAGGAUCACCUGCACAGGAGGCAGCUUAUCAGCCCUGGCACUGGGUGAAGCCCCUGAACACCCAGGACUCAUCCUUGGGCAAGAAAUGAGCAUUCCCUGGAGAGACAUCUGGACAAAGACAAUUCUAAAGUGUCCCCAGGCAGGUUAAGAACAACUGGGCAUUCAUCGUAAAGAAUCAUUGGUCUGAGGUUCAAGGUCCCUGUUCCCUGCCGCACCAUCAACACUGGGCCCUCACUGGGACUCUUCUUGGACAUCCUGUAGCUGCCCCGUGUCAUGGAGAUCUUGCAGUUCUGGGUCCACAGGACUGACACCUCUCCCCCACCCCCAUGCUCCAGCAGAUCACAGGGAGUGCGGUUCCAGGAAGUUCACAAGAGAUUGCCCUUUGCAAAGGCCAGAUGAGAGGCCAAAAGCAGAUUUAGGAUAUCAUUCCAUGUUGCUCACUGUGGCAGACCAGACCCUACAGGCUGUAUGUAGUCAAUCAGGAAAGCAACCAUCUUGGCUCCAAAGCAAAGGGAAACACAGAAGAAAACACAAUUCUGUGUGACAAGCGGUGUCAGCCGGCAUGGGAUACGGAAGGAAGCGGUAAGCUGAAGAAGCAAGGGAACAUGCUAGAGUCUUAGCCAGGUCUCAGAAUAAAAGACCUGCAACAACAGGUAAAUGGAUGCUCCAUUUCUCCUAGAACAGGACAACUUUUGCUGUGUGCAACAUGGUCUUCAUACCAAGCAGAGGAAGACAGUGACUGGAUCCACACAUGGCAAAAGUACUGUCCCCGCUAAGACCCAGAGAACUCAAAACUACCUCCUUGGCAAAGGCACACAGAGAGCCUUCCCUACCUCAAGGAGUGUUCCAGGUGUGUAGAGGGCACGAGGUCCUUGUGCUCCCAGAUGAGCCCUGGGGGACACCAGAAGUGUUCCACCCACCUGGGAGUGGGUGUUAG
This is a non-coding RNA of Myodes glareolus (Bank vole), 1115 nucleotides long. NCBI's taxonomy places the organism in Eukaryota, Metazoa, Chordata, Mammalia, Rodentia, Cricetidae. The record is from RefSeq and is a predicted model, not a curated record.